UUUUGAAAGUUUUAACACUUGAUGGUGACUUCAACCGACCUCAAGGCUGAGGGUUUGGAGGUGAAAAUUCAAUUUUUGUGGCUAAGUAUGAGAGUGAAAAAUGGAAAAUUUUCCAAUACUUAGCCAUUUCGCAGCCCCGUUAUUUUUUUUCAAAAUUUUGCAAAAAUUUUCUAACUUAAAGUUUUCAUCAUUCAUCUACAGGUCUUAAGCACCAUGAAGUUCCAGGUAGAUAAAGAUGCUCCUCCAGAGUCGAGGAUGACUUACAAGUGGAAGAACAUCAGUGACACCAACCUCGGACACAUCAACCUGAGGGAGUUUAAGAAGCGAAUGUUUGGUCUGGACAACCUUGUGCCUACCACCAUUGCGCGAAAAAUGAUGAAGAGUGGUAUCGUGCAGGCUGCCGGCUUCCUCCCCACCAUGCAGUGCAAUGAACUAGUAGUUGAAUGUGCCAAACACUACAACCCCAUCAGUAAGGAUAUUGUUGCACCUGAUGGAAGAGUGUUGGCGAAUGUCAGCGAUGAGGCCAUCAGAGAAGCCUUCAGGAUCCCUGAGUACCACAACGCAGUAUAUAUGACCAAGGACGAAGCUGACAGUCUGUACCACGACCACCUGGAAGAAUAUGAUGCCAUAGUUAAUCAUUCCUGGCUAGACAAGCCGAGGAAGGGCGCCUCCAAACUCCAGAGAAAGAGCCUAGCGCGAGCAUACUUCAAGGAGGACAUUGGGGACAUGAUUGUCUUGCUCAAUAGAAUAAUAGGAAAUCCUCAGGGAGCUCCAUUCGAACCCUGGAUGUAUUAUUUCAUUAAUGAAAUAAUCAAUGGAGUAAAAAUGAUAGACUGGGCCCGUAUGAUCAGCGACAACCUAGACAACCAGCUAAGGAAUCUGGAGGCGAAUAGGACUUUCUUCAUGAGUUCUUACUUGUUCUAUUCUUUAGCCAGGACCUAUAGGUACAGAGGUCUCACUUGUAGAGGAGAAGUUGGGAACAAGGAGAACCAAUUUCCGGUAUAUGAUUGCUAUCCCCAGCUCCAUAUGGAGGAGAAGUUCCAUUUCAAAAGGGUGAAUGAUACCUUCUUGAUGCACAUUACCUGGACCCUUCAAGGUGGCCUGCACCAGAGGCUCUCUCAAGAGUCUAUGGACUUCAUCGGUCGGUUCGGGUGUUGGUACAUCCAAUAUCCAAAGUUCACUUACCUCCAAAUUCAAGGAUUCUCUGGGCCCCCAUACAAGCUUCCAGCUUACCCUACCAACCGAGUGGUGUUGCUCGAGGUUGUGAGACAAUUGGAGGAGUAUAUAGUGAUUCAAAGGGAUAAGCAGAAGAAGGCAGGGACAUCCUCACUUACAAUUGGUAAUGGGCUGGAAACAUGUCCAUCAUCAUAGGCUGCAGCCACCGCUGAGAAAGAAUUGGCCUGGUAUCCCUUCUACCAAUACAAGUCAAGAAAAGAUUUCGAUCCAUUCCAUAGGAUAAAGAAGAUCGAAGGGACAACGUUUGAGCACUGACUGGAUCUAGAAGACUACUGGGCUAAUGCAGCCGAUAGUUUCGAGAUCCGGAAGAGGUUCUGGUCAAGAAUUCCUUUGAGUAUGGUGAGAGCAACGGAAGUAUUCAAAGUUGCCGAUCAGGUAGAAGAAAGCGUAGAACUUCAGCAGUCGGGUUUUUAGAAGAUGAAGAAUGAACCCUUAGUCUCCAUAGAUUGGAUAGAGGGAGAAAAAUCAGAUCUAGCAGACCUCAUGAGGUCGGUGGUUGAGUACUCAAGGUGGUGGGCGUCUGAAAAGACAAAACAAUUGAAGGCGAAAGGCGUGGUUCCAACUUAUGAAUUAAUGGGAGUAGAUGAUACUCUGUCCGUCCAUCCUUGUACCUCCGUCGGUGAUGCUCGGAAUCCAGAAAGUGUUGGAUCUCGAAAGAGAAAGGAGUUGGGUGGAAGUUCCACAAAGGUCACAGGGAAAAGGGCUAUAGGUGAGAGAAGAGAAUCCAGCGAAAGUCACUCCAUCCUAAGUGCUGCUUCCAUUGCGCCUGAUCAAAGUACAAUUGGGGAGCAAGAGAUGAACAUCUAUGUGAUUGAUGAUGAAGUAAGAGUGCUUUCCCAGCCAGUUGAGGAAGUGGUGGAGAAGGUCUUCCGAACUCCAGACAGGGGGCAGAUUGAAGCCCCUACAAUCUUCUUGGAUGGCAUACCAGCGAACCCAGGAGAAGCAGACAAUGAGUUUGAUCGGAACACUGAAGAACAAUCAACCAUUCCUGAUUGGCUGAGAGCAAGGAUAAAGGCCAAGGUUCCCAAGGAUGCCCACUCAACCGAGGAGGUUACCGCAACAUUCCUGGAGAAGGUGAGUGAACCCGCUAUAGCUAAACCGCCCAAACCAGCCAGGAAGUUUUCCCUGAUUCAGAGAGACAGUGCCGGAUUCAGGACAGUCCAGAUAGCAGUGCCCAAAGAAGGGAAGACUAGGGACAAUGUCACCGCAGAUGACUACAAGAUUACCACCAUAGAGAUGGGUAAGCCUACCCAGGACCAAGAGAUCCAAUAUUUUGAUGACUCCUGCAACGUUCUAAAGACGAGGCUGGCUCAUGAAAAAGAAAAGAGGAAGAAAGUGGAAGAAGAGAACCAGUAGUGGAAGAAGUAUGUUCUCCAUCUUACCAGCCCGCUCAACCAUGAAGUCCCGGCUACUCCACCACAGCCUCUUCAGCAGGGAUCAAUGAAGGACUAUAAUGAUAUGAAGGGAUCAUACACUCAAGAAAAGGAGUGGAUUUCAGACGCUGUGAUACGUGCUGACACCCUGGUAGAAAACUUAGUAUCAGCACAUGAGGCAACUUCUUUGUUGAUUGAUCAUAUCCAGGAUCUAGCAUCCAAUUGGGAAGAAGUGGAUGAAAUUCAGAAUGAAAUACUCCCUCACCUGAAGGUUAUCCGAGGCAUGUCAAAGAAGAGCUUAGUGGAUGUAGGCAUCAUACAGACAGGAGACAGGUACGACUUCGGCAUGUGGUACCAUGCUCUGGUCACUCGGAUUGAGGUUCUGAAGAAAUCCGAGGCCAAGUGUUCUGAGACAGAGGCAAGGGUUAGAGAGAUCCUGGGCAAGGUAUUCCGUGUGGUGUCAGAGAUCUGGCAGAAGGAAAGCCUAAGGGAGAAGCAUUUACAAGCAGAGAACCUGAGAGCCAGGAUUCAGGCAAGCUUCUUCCGAGAUUUAGGAUGAUUAACAAAGGCGAUCUUUCGAAGACUGCAAACUUCCUCUCCAUCGAUGACAACUUCCUCACCCAAGCAGUGGAGUGGGAAGGCAUCCUUGCCACAUGCACCGACGAUGUGGAUCUCAUCGACUUCCACAUUGGCGGUUUGCCAAGUGUCACCAUGGAGGAGGUCAAGCUCGUGGUGUCCAAAUACGUUGAAUCUCUGAAAGAGGAAAGUGGCCACUCACCUCAGUAAAAUUAGCAGCUGCGCCACUUGUCACUCUUUCAUUUGCUUGAACUGAUAGUAUUUCAGGAAACCCUAAUUAGGGUUUAGGACUUUCAAUCUCGGCCCUUGAUCACUGUUUGAUCUCGGCCAUUCAUUUAUUUUUGAGAAACUAUAUAAGGUUGUCUCCUCUCAUUUGAAAAGGGUGAGGUUUUUGAUGUAUUGUUGCUUAAGGUCAUUUCCAGAUAAUAUAUUGCAUGUGCGCUGCUUUGUAAUCUCUAUUAUUUGAAUGAUUUGCAUGGUUUCAAUUGCCUCAACACUUAGUUAGAAAUAAUUUAGAUUUGCUUUCAUUGUUGUUAAUUUGAAUGAAGGAUUUGAUAAGUAUCAAUUGAUGGUGUAUUUCCGCUCAUACUUUUGGUAAAUGGAUGAUUUCCAUUCUACCGUGCAAAGUUAGUCUGAGCCCAUCCCCUGUGCAUCUCAACAUCUCGAUCAUAAGCACAACCCAUUGAAGAUUGCACCAGCCUUGUGUAGUUGUCCCUAGUGUGGUGAAGCAAGGUUUGGUUUCUCGAAAGCACCCAAUUGAUACCAUCUCUAGAAUUCGUAGGAUUAGAUUAGCCUUCUUGAACCCUAUCUCUUUUUCCCUUUCUUUUGAAAGUCUAAAUCCCAGAAAAUCCCCCCCCCCAAAAAAAAGAAGAAGAGCCUAAAAAUUGCUAAAUCCAUCUAAGUCCAGCAGUUCAAGAAUACUUGUCAAAUGUAAGUCCCCCUUGAAAAUUUCAGCAUACACUACCCAAGAAGCUAUUCAACUAAAGUCGCUUGUUCACACAUAUAGACCUUGGAAUCGGUAGUGAUUUUUCAGGAGAGGAUAGAAUACCUUCGGGUAUCCUAUCCUAAUAUUUGGUAGAUGAUAAAACAGACACCAACACUACCAAAUACUCUGAAAUAUCUCACAGUAGGAACAUGACCAGACCAAAGCUCAUAAGGGGUUUUACCGGUAUCUCCUUUGAUGUGAACUUUGUUGAAUGUGUAAACAGUAGUACUAAUGGCUUCUCUCCAAUAUAUCUUCGGGACAUUUCCUUCAAUCAGCAUAGUCCUUGCAGCAUCCAAAACAGUUAUGUUCUUCCUCUCAACAACUCCAUUCUGCUAAGGGGUUCUAGGAGCAGAUAAUUGUCUUCUAAUCCCAUGCUUCUCACAUAAUGAAUUGAACUCUUCGGAACAAAAUUUUGCACCUCUGUCAGAUCUCAAGCACUUCACCUUCAAUCUAGAUUCAAUCUCAACCUUAGCUUUGAAUAUCUUGAAUUUAUCAAAUGCUUUUGAUUUCUCCUUCAAAAAGACAACCCACAUCAUCCUAGAAUAAUCAUCAAUUAGCAACAUAAAAUAUCUAUCACCCUGCACACUUCUAACAUUUGUAGGUCCACAUAGGUCAGUAUGUACAAGAUCUAGGUCGGUUUGCUUACCCAACUGACAUUCCUUACAUACUGGAUUAGCAGGCUUAACAAUCUUAGGCAGAUCUCUAACAACAUGUGUAGAUCUGAUCUUAAUUAUUGAAUCAAAAUUUACAUGACACAUUCUUCUAUGCCAUAAGCAACUCUCAUCUAUUUGAUCAAUCAAACAACUUUUUUCACUAGCAUUCAAAUGAAAAAUGUUUCCUUCAGUCUUAGUUCCAAAUGCAAUCUCUAUACCGAAGGCAUUUAAGAUCUUGCAUUUUCCAUCCUUGAAUUGUAGAUUGUAACCUUUAUCAACCAUCUGUCCAACAUUCAAAAGAUUAUGUUUCAAACCUUCAACAUACAAGACAUCGUCAAUGUUAUGCUUACCACCAAAAGAAAUAGAACCUUUCCCAUGGAUCACGCAGGCUUUGUCAUCUCCAAAUCUAACUAUUCCACCAUCAUAUCUCUCCAUACUCACAAAUUUGCUUUUAUCACCGGUCAUAUGAUGUGAACAACCACUGUCAAUAACCCAUUCGUCUUUCUCUCCAACUUUAGCAGCUAAAGCUUUCUCCUCAAUAGUAUAGCUAGUGUAAUUAACAGGUACAUGUCCAUCUUCCUUAAUGGCAAGAAAUAUAACUUCAUCUCCUUCCGAUUCAUCAUCUGUAAUAUCUUCAUCAACAACAUAGUAAUAGUUCUUCUGAUUUCUAUACUUCCGGUUAGGCUUGUAGGGCUUGUCAUACUUCUCAUGCUUGUCAUAUCUAUCAUUCCUAUCAUGCUUGUCAAACUUAUCAUGUUUGUCAUACUUAGCCAUUCUCUCCGAGCAUCUAGAAGCAAAAUGUCCUAUCUUAUUAAAAGAGAAACAUUUCAAAGGCAACUUUCCAUCAUACUUACCGACACCUUUAAGCAAUCUCCGGGCAAUCAAUGCUUCAAGUUCAUCCAUCUCUCUUUCUUGCUCUUCCAUCUCUCUUCUCUCUCUCUCUUAUAUCUAGAUAUUCUACACUCAUUUGGAUCAUAUUUCUGUUUACCAAAUACAGAUGCAAAUGCUCUAAAUGCAGUCUCAAACUUUCUAUAUGAUUCUCCAAACUCACUCAGCUCAAAUGCAACAAUCUUUCUAACCAGCAUAUCUCUUGUCACUGUAGUCACACUCCGGAUCUCAUCAAUAGCAGCAACCUUAUGUUUAUAGGCAAGAGGAAAAAAUCUCAACACCUUAGCAACAGUUUCAUCUUCCUCAAUGGUUCCACCAGCACAUCUGAUACCGAGGACAAGAUCAUUCACCUUAGCCAUGAAAGAGUGUAUGUUCUCAUCAUCUCCCAUCUUCAAUGUCUCAUACUUUACUUUUAAACUCUACAAAUUAGCAACCUUCACCUGUUUAUCACCUUCAUACAAAAUCUCAAGCUUCACCCAGAUCUCUUGUGCAGUCUGAAGUCCCAUUACAUUUGUCAUCUCAAAAUCAGUCAGGGCACUAAGCAAUGCUUCCUUUGCUCUAAUAUUAUGUUCAGCUUCCUUGAUCUCAUCAAGAGUAGACGGUCCAUUCGGAGGAACAGUAUAGGCAUUUUUUGAUCUUCACCAAGACAUUUCAAGUGCACUUCCAUCCGAUCCUUCCAUAUAGCAUAGUUACUUCCAUCAAAUCUCAGACUAUCCUUAAAGAUUACACCUUGAGCUGCCAUCCCGGAUCUCCUCAAGCGGUUAAGCUUCUAUUGGAGGAUCUAGCUCUGAUACCAAUUGUUAGCAGCAACCAAGAAGGAAGACUGAGAGGGGGGUGGGGGGUGAAUCAGUCUUCACCGGAACAACAAUCAAAACACAGAUCUGAUAAAUUGCAGUAAUAAGAUAGAUAAGCAAAUUAACAACACAAAACACAACACCAAGAUUUUGACAUGGAAAACUCGGUUAAGGGAAAAACCACGGUGGGAACCUACCUACAGUAAGAUGAUACUCUACAAUAGUAUGUGAAAAUAUUACAAUGGGGAAUGCACAUGCAUUCAGGCACACUGCCUAGAGCUCAUUGCUCAAAUAUAAUGGCCUAGAAGGCUACAACCCUCAGGGAAGUCUCACUGACUUACAAUAAGAUUCGGACUACAAUCCGGAAGAAAUGAAGUGAAAGAAUAGCAUCUCCAAAUACCUGAUUACAAUUUCGGUUAAGCACAGAUGUCUGCCCUGCAACACCAAUCUCACCUCAAACUCAACACCGAAGGAUAAAUCACUUGUUUGCACACAAACCUCUCUCUGAUAAUGCAGACACAACAUCGACACCCAAAUUACAUGAAUGUAUCACCUAUAUAUACAAAUCAUCAACCUUGAUAACAAGGUUGGCUAAACCCUCAACCCUCAAUUACAAAAUUACAUCACACAAUACAAAGAUUGACCACCGGACCAGUAUAAUGGUUUACAUAGUAUAACAUGGUCCUAAAACAAAUUCCCAAACACACAACUCCACUGGAAAUCAUGCCAAGAUCAACCGCAACACGCUAAACCACCAGGAAAACCGCAUAACAUGAAAAUCAUCACCGGUUGAUAGAAACCACCAAAAAAUCGCACAACAAUUGAUGCAGAUCACCAAAACAAAUAGGACAUGACUAGGAAACACCGACAAGCAUGUUAAAAUCAUUAGGAACAGCUGCACCAACACCACUUAUAAAAUCUUCAUCGGUCGACGUCUGAAAGCUCAAGAACACAACCAAUCAGCAACUGUCACGAAGAAAGAUAACUUGCGGAGCACCAAAUCACGAUCCAUCUAAAAUGAAGAUACACAAGACCAUCCCAAGCAAUAUCCCAAAAAAUCAGCACAAGAUCUGAUCACACCGGAAUAUACUGGAGGAUAUACCGAACUCUGCAAAACAGUGAUCAGCAAACCAACACAACAAACCAGAUCAUAAGAUCUUUCCAAUCUGCAAUCACCAAAGAAAUAUACAGGAAUAUGUUGACAUCAAUGACAACAACAUAUCCUAGUAGCAGCAAUAACCAACAAUAUCCAACAGGUAUAAGGUGACAAUGGCUUCCUUAUAUUUAGAACUAGAGAAAUUCAUUUGAUAUCGAUGGCUGUGUGCUUAACAAAGGAAAAUGGUUCAUACUAUCACAUGGUCAGUUUUUAUAGAGGAGCUACAAUCACAAUAUAGCAA
RNA transcript from Cryptomeria japonica (Japanese cedar), 7902 nucleotides. RefSeq lists it as uncharacterized. The transcript is spliced from 2 exons. Lineage: Eukaryota; Viridiplantae; Streptophyta; Pinopsida; Cupressales; Cupressaceae. The record is from RefSeq and is a predicted model, not a curated record.